This 604-nucleotide ribosomal RNA is filed under the name uncultured bacterium. RNAcentral's name for it is "bacterial SSU rRNA". It matches the Rfam family "Bacterial small subunit ribosomal RNA", at positions 69 to 657 of the family's 1533-position model. The record is from RNAcentral.
UGAUUAGAAGCUUGCUUCUAUGACGUUAGCGGCGGACGGGUGAGUAACACGUGGGCAACCUGCCUGUAAGACUGGGAUAACUUCGGGAAACCGAAGCUAAUACCGGAUAGGAUCUUCUCCUUCAUGGGAGAUGAUUGAAAGAUGGUUUCGGCUAUCACUUACAGAUGGGCCCGCGGUGCAUUAGCUAGUUGGUGAGGUAACGGCUCACCAAGGCAACGAUGCAUAGCCGACCUGAGAGGGUGAUCGGCCACACUGGGACUGAGACACGGCCCAGACUCCUACGGGAGGCAGCAGUAGGGAAUCUUCCGCAAUGGACGAAAGUCUGACGGAGCAACGCCGCGUGAGUGAUGAAGGCUUUCGGGUCGUAAAACUCUGUUGUUAGGGAAGAACAAGUACAAGAGUAACUGCUUGUACCUUGACGGUACCUAACCAGAAAGCCACGGCUAACUACGUGCCAGCAGCCGCGGUAAUACGUAGGUGGCAAGCGUUAUCCGGAAUUAUUGGGCGUAAAGCGCGCGCAGGCGGUUUCUUAAGUCUGAUGUGAAAGCCCACGGCUCAACCGUGGAGGGUCAUUGGAAACUGGGGAACUUGAGUGCAGAAGAGA